GAAGCUUUUCCAUCUUGUCAUAGCUGAACGAGUCUCUCUACAUCACCAGUGAACUAUCAGUGAGUUUCAUCUGUCGCAGGACCCUUGGAGGAAUUUGAAGAAGAUCCUCUGCGCUUUACAGUGCCAAAGAACGCUCGUCUUAAGAGAAUAACCGCGCCCUCUGCUGAUAUGGGUGUAAAAAUGCUCCAGUGCUUUCCCUUCUACAGACGCUGCAAGGAGAGGUGCAAAAGACAGUGCCCUCCUGAGACUGCUGUAGUGAGUGAAGAGUUGAAGCCCCGUCUGUGCUCCACCACGUCCUGGGGCAGUGAAGGGGACAGCAGCAGCGGCAUCAGCUGCCCACAGGCCUACUUCUCCCACAAAGCCCGGCUCUCACUGCGGCACCAGAUGGACAGUAACAUCAAUGCAGUGGACGCCACAUACUAACAUUGCCCUGCAAGCGGUUUCUGGAGAAUCCUUAAAAAUAGACUUCCGACAUACAGCUGCCAUCCAGCUUCAAUCUCUUUCUGGAGAGCAUUUGAGGGGAAAAUGGAAGAUCAUGAGCCAAGCACAAGGAAAGCGUGCCUCUCCUUGGAUGGACACUCGUGUGAGGGCCAGCUGUAUGUACUGCCACAACGAGUGUUUGAAUUUCUCUAACACAAUGGUACAGCUGAGUGCUCUUUGGUGAAAGAGGAAUUUGCUAAACACUCUUGAUGUUGAGAGAAUUGAGAGAUGUUUACAUGAUCACCAGCAAGUGCUUUUUGUCUAGCCUGCAGCAUCUGUUCUACUCGGUUUGCUAUAUGAGCAUCUAUGUGAGGAGGACGCUUCUGGUAGCUUUUCUGACCACACACUGACAAUUAUGCCAGUUUUGAGUCAGAUAUGCAUUUGUUCAGUGGUUUACCCAUUAAUACACUUGUAAAAAAUCAAUGCUGAUGUUUUAUAUGACACAGAAAGCAGGUUUACUAUAGCCUUUUUGUUAACUUUUUAAGUGAGUGCCAUUUUCUUGACCCAACAAAUUAUACAGUAUAUUGAGACCCAUUAACAGUGUGCAAAGUAGGCAUUGGCCAGUGUAUGAUUCUGACGGUAUGAUAACUUUGGAUAAAAAUAACACAAUUUUUCCCAGUUGAACACAAUAUAUUUGAUUUUGGGAAACAUUUGUCAUAUUUUGGAGCAGUAAACAUGUCAGGCUAAAUAAUUAAAAUAAGUCAUUGACUUCUGCUGUCUUGAUUUGUUUUAAAAAAACAGAAUUCUUUACAAUUAAAAAAGGCCUCUUUGGAUAUCUUGGAUACUGUCGUCCUUAAAAUCUAAACAAAAAAAAUCUUAUAAUCAUAAACCUUAGGAACGCUAUAGCAGAAAAUGUUGGCGGUUUUAAAUCAUUGACUUUUCCAAACUGCAGUAUACCUAUAAAACAGUUAUCGACCCAUGCCUAGCGCACAGCUCAGAGUAUAGAAUCUCAAAUAAAUAAAAAUCACUGUUCAUGAAUGCAUUAAUUUAAGGUGUUUUCAGAAUAUACAUUACCGGUCAAUAGAUUGGGCUCUUUUUUUAAUGUUUUUUUUUAGAAAUAUAUUCUGUUCAUCAAGAUUAAACACAAAAGGGGUGUUAAAUAUUUCUAAAACAAAUUAAAUAACUGCUUUCUUAUUGUAUGUAGUUUCAAAUAAGAUGAUUACUCCAGUCAUCAUUGCUUUUAUUACAAUUACCAUUACAUUUAUAUUAAUAAGAUUAAUUAAUAUUAGAGUGAUUUCUGAAGGAUCAUGUGACUCUUAAGAAUGGAGUAAUGAAGCUGAAAAUUCAUAUUUAAAACCACUGGAAUAAAUGAUUAAAUUAAAUGAUAAACUACUUUUGAACAGUUAUUUUAAAGUGCAAUUACAGUUCACAAUUUUACAAUUUGUACUGUAUUUUUGAUUAAAUAAAUGCAGUCUUGGUGAGCAGGAGAAGCUUAUUUUAAAACAAUCUCACUGACCCCAAAAUUUUGACCAUUGGUGUUUAUGUUUUUAAAGUAAUUUUUUCUGACUUAAAUCUCACAAUUAAAUCCACUGAUAUGAAGAUGAUUGAAAUAUUAUUUUGUCUACUUUCUAUUGCAUGUUUAAACUGAGUGACAUAAAUCAAGUUUUUUUUUUUUUGUCAUGAUCCACUCAUUGCUUUUUUUUUUACAUGCUAAUGUCAUGGAUUUGACUGUCUUUGUCUUUGCACAUGUAUUAAGUGUUUGUUUGUUUAGGUGUUAAACCUAACCCUGAAAAGAAAACUUACACUGUUACACCUUAAGUCAUAAUUACUAUAAAAGAGAAAAUAUUUUUUGUAUGUUUUGUAUAAAAGGUGCAAUUUUCUAAAAAAAAAUUACUUGUAAUCAUUUAAAAUGACAGUGAACUAAAUACAUAACAUAAAAUCGCAGAUGUACUUUUGAUUUAACUGAUUUUCACACAACAAUAAAUCUUUUUGAAAAAGAAAAAAAAAAAAAAAAAAAAAA
Molecule: long non-coding RNA, 2440 nt
Filed under: Danio rerio (zebrafish)
Lineage: Eukaryota; Metazoa; Chordata; Actinopteri; Cypriniformes; Danionidae
Description: si:dkey-85k7.7 (si:dkey-85k7.7)
Source: RNAcentral